Molecule: ribosomal RNA, 464 nt
Filed under: uncultured bacterium
Lineage: Bacteria
Description: partial 16S ribosomal RNA
Rfam family: Bacterial small subunit ribosomal RNA
Source: RNAcentral
ACGCACGCUGGCGGCGUGCUUCACACAUGCAAGUCGAACGGAAAGGCCCCUUUGGGGGUACUCGAGUGGCGAACGGGUGAGUAACACGUGAGUAACCUGCCCUUGACUUCGGGAUAACUUCAGGAACCUGGGGCUAAUACCGGAUAGGAAUCCUUGCUGCAUGGUGGGGGUUGGAAAGCUUCGGCGGUUUUGGAUGGACUCGCGGCUUAUCAGCUUGUUGGUGGGGUAGUGGCUUACCAAGGCUUUGACGGGUAGCCGGCCUGAGAGGGCGACCGGCCACAUUGGGACUGAGAUACGGCCCAGACUCCUACGGGAGGCAGCAGUGGGGAAUAUUGCACAAUGGGCGGAAGCCUGAUGCAGCAACGCCGCGUGCGGGAUGACGGCCUUCGGGUUGUAAACCGCUUUCAGCAGGGGCGAAGCUUGUGGUGACGGUACCUGCAGAAGAAGCACCGGCUAACUACGUG